CUUGGUUUGACUGAACUCACAGAAUAUUGAGUCAGAAUGAACAACUUUUCUUGCCCCAAAAGUGCAAAAGCUAGGAGAAGCAGUCAAACUGUACUUUCAACUCUGUGCUGUCAGUGAGAGCUGCGAACAUGAAGCAGUUGCCAUUCUCAGUGGUACAAUAAUCAAGUAGGAACUAGAGUUUCAGCACUCUCAGGCUCAUUCUGCAUUUGCGCUGCCACUUGAAAUACCAGAUUUGCUUGACAGAAGAAAAAAACAGCUGCAGUGUUGUCAGGAUCUCUAACUGCAAUCCUCUGGUGAUGAAAGAGACCCCAGAAAUUACGUAUAGUAUGCUGCAGUGAAAACAUAAAAAGCCUCAGUUUCCUACCUGCUGCACCCCAGUCAUUUUCUCUUCUUGACACAAGAUGGAGAAGAGGGGACAACCAGUAGUCAGAAAGGUUGUUGAAGGCUGUCUCUAGAAAAGCCAUAGCUAAAACAGAUUUGCUGACUUGGAGUUUAAGGACCUCAAGGAGACAUGUAUUGUGGAAGAAAAUGUUAGAAGGAGAAAAGGAAUGUUUUAAUCUCUUGUUGAAUUGUAAUUCUUACAAGAUUAAAGGAAAAUCUCUCCUUGGUUCUUUCCCGAUAAAUUGACAGGAA
RNAcentral lists this long non-coding RNA (633 nucleotides) under Anas platyrhynchos platyrhynchos (common mallard). RNAcentral describes it as "lncRNA (ENSAPLG00000025181.1)". Lineage: Eukaryota; Metazoa; Chordata; Aves; Anseriformes; Anatidae. The record is from RNAcentral.